AUUGAACGCUGGCGGCAGGCCUAACACAUGCAAGUCGAGCGGAUGAAGGGAGCUUGCUCCUGGAUUCAGCGGCGGACGGGUGAGUAAUGCCUAGGAAUCUGCCUGGUAGUGGGGGAUAACGUCCGGAAACGGGCGCUAAUACCGCAUACGUCCUGAGGGAGAAAGUGGGGGAUCUUCGGACCUCACGCUAUCAGAUGAGCCUAGGUCGGAUUAGCUAGUUGGUGGGGUAAAGGCCUACCAAGGCGACGAUCCGUAACUGGUCUGAGAGGAUGAUCAGUCAAAGUGGAAGUGAAACACGUCCCGGCCCCUGAGGGGGGGCAGCAGGGGGAAAUUUUGGACAAUGGGCGAAGGCCUGACCCAGCCUUGCCGCGUGGGUGAAGAAGGUCUUCGAAUUGUAAACCACUUUAAUUUGGGGGAAAGGGCAGUAAUUUAAUACUUUCCUGUUUGGACUUUCCCAAAAAAAAAACCCCCGGCAAAUUUCGUC
This 484-nucleotide ribosomal RNA is filed under the name uncultured bacterium. RNAcentral's name for it is "partial 16S ribosomal RNA". It matches the Rfam family "Bacterial small subunit ribosomal RNA", at positions 30 to 507 of the family's 1533-position model. The record is from RNAcentral.